RNAcentral lists this ribosomal RNA (411 nucleotides) under uncultured Streptomyces sp. Its description in RNAcentral is "bacterial SSU rRNA". It matches the Rfam family "Bacterial small subunit ribosomal RNA", at positions 975 to 1379 of the family's 1533-position model. The record is from RNAcentral. Lineage: Bacteria; Bacillati; Actinomycetota; Actinomycetes; Kitasatosporales; Streptomycetaceae.
CAAGGCUUGACAUACACCGGAAAGCAUUAGAGAUAGUGCCCCCCUUGUGGUCGGUGUACAGGUGGUGCAUGGCUGUCGUCAGCUCGUGUCGUGAGAUGUUGGGUUAAGUCCCGCAACGAGCGCAACCCUUGUCCUGUGUUGCCAGCGUGCCCUUCGGGGUGACGGGGACUCACAGGAGACCGCCGGGGUCAACUCGGAGGAAGGUGGGGACGACGUCAAGUCAUCAUGCCCCUUAUGUCUUGGGCUGCACACGUGCUACAAUGGCAGGUACAAUGAGCUGCGAUACCGUGAGGUGGAGCGAAUCUCAAAAAGCCUGUCUCAGUUCGGAUUGGGGUCUGCAACUCGACCCCAUGAAGUCGGAGUUGCUAGUAAUCGCAGAUCAGCAUGCUGCGGGAAUACGUCCCGAGGCAC